Molecule: ribosomal RNA, 801 nt
Filed under: Triticum aestivum (bread wheat)
Lineage: Eukaryota; Viridiplantae; Streptophyta; Magnoliopsida; Poales; Poaceae
Description: partial small subunit ribosomal RNA
Source: RNAcentral
AUGGCUGAUAAUACCAAGUUCCUCCGUUUGUUUCUCCUCUUGAGCAGCUCACCACUGUGUUUUGGUACUGAACAAGAUAUCCGGUGCCUGAUGUCUGUACAAGGCUCAUUGGCUGAUCCGGGCGGUGUACUCAGAUCUUGGAACUUUGAAAAUGAAACCAACGGUUACAUAUGCCGCUUUACUGGUGUGGAAUGCUGGCACCCCGACGAGAACAAGAUUCUCUCUCUGCGACUAGGCAACCUGGGACUUCAAGGCCAAUUUCCUGUUGCUCUACAGAAUUGUUCAAGCCUGACCGGCUUGGACCUGUCAAAUAACAAUUUUUCAGGACCAAUCCCUCGGGACAUUUCACAGGUGAUGCCGUAUCUGACAUCUCUGGACCUUUCGUACAAUAGCUUUUCGGGUUCGAUCCCACAGAAUAUCUCAAAUAUGACAUAUCUGAAUAUCCUCAACCUUCAGCAUAACCAGCUCAGCGGUCAAAUUCCACCGCAAUUCACUUUGCUUACUCGGUUAACCGCAUUCAAUGUCGCGGACAACUUGUUAUCAGGGCCUAUUCCUUCUUUGCUACAAAACUAUUCGGCUUCGAACUUUGCUGGUAACCAAGGGCUUUGUGGUUCACCGUUGGAUGAUUGUCCCCCCUCGAGGAGGAGAUGGAGACCGGUACAAAUCAAGCUGCACAGGCUCAACGACCAGUCAAGCAUCGGAGUGGCCGUCGGAUUCGUGGUGGGGUUCGUGGUGGCCUUCUACUUCCCGCACUGCUUCGUCUGCUCCGAGAGGCUCCGAGCCUACGUCGUCCGCAUAUGA